Hydra vulgaris (swiftwater hydra) is the source of this 311-nucleotide non-coding RNA. Lineage: Eukaryota; Metazoa; Cnidaria; Hydrozoa; Anthoathecata; Hydridae. The record is from RefSeq and is a predicted model, not a curated record.
CUGCAGAACCAAAGCUUUAAUUAGAAAACUUGAAUGAAAUAUUUGAUAAAAAAUGUGUUGAAAAGUCACAAUUUUCAUUGCCAACUCAUUUUGAUAUAAAAAGUUCUGAAGACCCAAUAUGUUUGUUACAAACUGUAAUUAAAGAAGACUGUGUUUUUGAGACAUCAAGUUAUUCAAGCAAGAAUUUUCCAAAAAAUGUUGGUGAAAGUCUUGCUACUGAGAAUUCAAUUUAUUCAAUUGAAAAUCAUCCAAAAGAAAUGAAGGUUUGUCCAGUAUGUAAAUGGGAAGUGGAUGAUCUUCCCUGUCAUGUG